This 370-nucleotide ribosomal RNA is filed under the name uncultured bacterium. RNAcentral describes it as "bacterial SSU rRNA". It matches the Rfam family "Bacterial small subunit ribosomal RNA", at positions 527 to 896 of the family's 1533-position model. The record is from RNAcentral.
GGAGGGUGCGAGCGUUAAUCGGAAUGACUGGGCGUAAAGGGCAUGUAGGCGGAUGAUUAAGUUAGGUGUGAAAGCCUCGGGCUCAACCUGAGAAUAGCAUUUAAAACUGGUGAUCUGGAGUACUGUAGAGGGAGGUAGAAUUCCACGUGUAGCGGUGAAAUGCGUAGAGAUGUGGAGGAAUACCGGUGGCGAAGGCGGCCUUCUGGACAGAUACUGACGCUGAGAUGCGAAAGCGUGGGGAGCAAACAGGAUUAGAUACCCUGGUAGUCCACGCUGUAAACGAUGUCGAUUUGGAGUUUGUUGCCUAGAGUGAUGGGCUCCGAAGCUAACGCGAUAAAUCGACCGCCUGGGGAGUACGGCCGCAAGGUUA